Molecule: ribosomal RNA, 501 nt
Filed under: Globigerinella siphonifera
Lineage: Eukaryota; Foraminifera; Rotaliida; Globigerinidae
Description: bacterial SSU rRNA
Rfam family: Eukaryotic small subunit ribosomal RNA
Source: RNAcentral
AUUUGACUCAACGCGGGGAAUCUUACCGGGUCCGGACACACUGAGGACGACAGACAAUUGUCUUUUUGUCAAAUUUAAAGACAAAAGAUAACAGAUCUUUCAUGAUUAUGUGAUGGGUGGUGCAUGGCCGUUCUUAGUUCGUGGAGUGAUCUGUCUGCUUAAUUGCGUUUCAAAUAUAUUUUAUUAUAUAACGAGUCUACAAAGGAGUGGUUCAUUAACAGACAAUCAUAUCUUUGAGCGUCUGGAAUCUACUCUAUUUGGCUCAAUUGAACGCAACGGACGUGAUCGCGAGUCCUUGUUGAACUUCAGUAUAUAUUGACUUUCCCCGUAGGAAGGGAUUGGCAAUAAUUGAAUGUUCGCUUUCUAUAGGUGUGUAUGAUUAAUCUCAAAAUUACAUGUAUUUGUAGUGGCGAGUAUAAUUUACUAUCCUAUAGGAAAACUCGGGCGACCGCUGUAAUAUUUCUCUUUAAAACAGAGGAAGAUUGCGGCAAUAACAGGUCU